AGUGAACGCUGGCGGUAGGCCUAACACAUGCGAGUCGAACGGCAGCACAGUAAGAGCUUGCUCUUACGGGUGGCGAGUGGCGGACGGGUGAGGAAUACAUCGGAAUCUACUUUUUCGUGGGGGAUAACGUAGGGAAACUUACGCUAAUACCGCAUACGACCUACGGGUGAAAGCAGGGGAUCUUCGGACCUUGCGCGAUUGAAUGAGCCGAUUUCGGAUUAGCUAGUUGGCGGGGUAAAGGCCCACCAAGGCGACGAUCCGUAGCUGGUCUGAGAGGAUGAUCAGCCACACUGGAACUGAGACACGGUCCAGACUCCUACGGGAGGCAGCAGUGGGGAAUAUUGGACAAUGGGCGCAAGCCUGAUCCAGCCAUACCGCGUGGGUGAAGAAGGCCUUCGGGUUGUAAAGCCCUUUUGUUGGGAAAGAAAAGCAGCAGGUUAAUACCCCGCUGUUCUGACGGUACCCAAAGAAUAAGCACCGGCUAACUUCGUG
RNAcentral lists this ribosomal RNA (492 nucleotides) under uncultured bacterium. RNAcentral's name for it is "partial 16S ribosomal RNA". It matches the Rfam family "Bacterial small subunit ribosomal RNA", at positions 29 to 507 of the family's 1533-position model. The record is from RNAcentral.